Molecule: ribosomal RNA, 554 nt
Filed under: uncultured bacterium
Lineage: Bacteria
Description: bacterial SSU rRNA
Rfam family: Bacterial small subunit ribosomal RNA
Source: RNAcentral
GGAGUUUGAUCCUGGCUCAGAUUGAACGCUGGCGGCAUGCUAAAAACAUGCAAGUCGAACGUGCCGCAAAGGGCAAGUGCGAAAAGGGUCAGUACCGCGAUCGAAUGUACCUAUGGGUUGAGGAUAGCCGUGGAAAACUGCGGGUAAUACUCGAUGAUGUCUCGGACCCAAAGAUUUAUCGCCCUAAGAGCAGCGAUCGUCCUAUCAGGUAGUUGGCGGGGUAAAGGCCCACCAAGCCUAAGACGGGUAGCAGGUGUGAGAGCACGACCUGCGACAUCGGGACUGAGACACUGCCCGGACUCCUACGGGAGGCUGCAGUAACGAAUCUUCCGCAAUGGGCGCAAGCCUGACGGAGCAAUGCCGCGUGUGGGAUGAAGCGGCUACGCCGUGUAAACCACUGUCAGGGACUAGAACCAAUGAUCAGUCCCAAAGGAAGAGCCGGCUAACCCUGUGCCAGCAGCCGCGGUAAUACAGGGGGCUCGAGCGUUAAUCGGAAUCACUGGGCUUAAAGGGUGCGUAGGUGGCUUGCCAAGCGUCCUGUGAAAUCCCACGGC